Molecule: transfer RNA, 66 nt
Filed under: chicken gut metagenome
Rfam family: tRNA
About the family: Transfer RNA (tRNA) molecules are approximately 80 nucleotides in length. Their secondary structure includes four short double-helical elements and three loops (D, anti-codon, and T loops).
Source: RNAcentral
GGAAUAGUUCAAAGGUUAGAGCAUUCGGCUUAUAUCCGAAAAGUUACAGGUUCAAGUCCUGUUUCC